Molecule: ribosomal RNA, 116 nt
Filed under: Escherichia coli
Lineage: Bacteria; Pseudomonadati; Pseudomonadota; Gammaproteobacteria; Enterobacterales; Enterobacteriaceae
Also listed under: 1 other name
Source: RNAcentral
UCUGGCGGCAGUAGCGCGGUGGUCCCACCUGACCCCAUGCCGAACUCAGAAGUGAAACGCCGUAGCGCCGAUGGUAGUGUGGGGUCUCCCCAUGUGAGAGUAGGGAACUGCCAGGC